RNAcentral lists this non-coding RNA (45 nucleotides) under Schistosoma margrebowiei. Lineage: Eukaryota; Metazoa; Platyhelminthes; Trematoda; Strigeidida; Schistosomatidae. The record is from RNAcentral.
AUUCAGCUGACGAGUCCCAACUUGGACGAAAUGCGCGUCCUGGAU